RNAcentral lists this ribosomal RNA (608 nucleotides) under uncultured bacterium. Its description in RNAcentral is "bacterial SSU rRNA". The stretch from base 1 to 516 matches the Rfam family "Bacterial small subunit ribosomal RNA", at positions 338 to 873 of the family's 1533-position model. The record is from RNAcentral.
CCUACGGGAGGCAGCAGUGGGGAAUAUUGGACAAUGGACGAAAGUCUGAUCCAGCAAUGCCGCGUGAGUGAUGAAGGCCUUAGGGUUGUAAAGCUCUUUUACCAGGGAUGAUAAUGACAGUACCUGGAGAAUAAGCUCCGGCUAACUCCGUGCCAGCAGCCGCGGUAAUACGGAGGGAGCUAGCGUUGUUCGGAAUUACUGGGCGUAAAGCGCACGUAGGCGGUUAUUCAAGUCAGAGGUGAAAGCCCGGGGCUCAACCCCGGAACUGCCUUUGAAACUAGAUAGCUAGAAUCCUGGAGAGGUGAGUGGAAUUCCGAGUGUAGAGGUGAAAUUCGUAGAUAUUCGGAAGAACACCAGUGGCGAAGGCGGCUCACUGGACAGGUAUUGACGCUGAGGUGCGAAAGCGCGGGGAGCAAACAGGAUUAGAUACCCUGGUAGUCCACGCCGUAAACGAUGAUAACUAGCUGUCCGGGCACAUGGUGCUUGGGUGGCGCNGCUACGCAUAAGUUAUCCGCCGUCGGGAGGUACGGUCGCGAGAGUUAAACGUAACGUAAAGUAAGUUAGUUACGUCGUUGAGACGUUGCCGACGGCGACGACGAGGGAGGAGG